Molecule: ribosomal RNA, 271 nt
Filed under: uncultured bacterium
Lineage: Bacteria
Description: partial 16S ribosomal RNA
Rfam family: Bacterial small subunit ribosomal RNA
Source: RNAcentral
GACGAAGGUGGCUAGCGUUGCUCGGAUUUACUGGGCAUAAAGCGCGCGUAGGUGGUUCUGUAAGCGGGGGAUGAAAUCCCAUGGCUCACCCAUGGAAUUGUCUUCCGGACUGCAGAGCUUGAAGACGGGAGGGGAGAAUGGAAUUCCCGGUGUAGCGGUGAAAUGCGUAGAUAUCGGGAGGAACGCCGGUGGCGAAAGCGAUUCUCUGGCCCGUUCCUGACACUGAGGCGCGAAAGCUAGGGGAGCAAACAGGAUUAGAAACCCCGGUAGU